RNAcentral lists this ribosomal RNA (253 nucleotides) under uncultured bacterium. RNAcentral describes it as "partial 16S ribosomal RNA". It matches the Rfam family "Bacterial small subunit ribosomal RNA", at positions 524 to 776 of the family's 1533-position model. The record is from RNAcentral.
UACGAAGGGGGCUAGCGUUGUUCGGAAUUACUGGGCGUAAAGCGCGCGCAGGCGGUCUUCCAAGUCAGUGGUGAAAGCCCGGAGCUCAACUCCGGAACUGCCAUUGAAACUGUGAGACUAGAGUACGAGAGAGGUGAGUGGAAUUCCCAGUGUAGAGGUGAAAUUCGUAGAUAUUGGGAAGAACACCGGUGGCGGAGGCGGCUCACUGGCUCGUUACUGACGCUCAGGCGCGACAGCGUGGGGAUCAAACAGG